Molecule: ribosomal RNA, 460 nt
Filed under: uncultured bacterium
Lineage: Bacteria
Description: partial 16S ribosomal RNA
Rfam family: Bacterial small subunit ribosomal RNA
Source: RNAcentral
CCUACGGGUGGCAGCAGUGAGGAAUAUUGGUCAAUGGGCGCGAGCCUGAACCAGCCAAGUAGCGUGAAGGAUGACUGCCCUACGGGUUGUAAACUUCUUUUAUAAAGGAAUAAGGUGAGGCACGUGUGCCUUUUUGUAUGUACUUUAUGAAUAAGGAUCGGCUAACUCCGUGCCAGCAGCCGCGGUAAUACGGAGGAUCCGAGCGUUAUCCGGAUUUAAUGGGGUUAAAGGGAGCGUCGAUGGGUUGUUGAGUCAGUUGUGAAAGUUUGCGGAUCAACCGUAAAAUUGCAAUUGAUACUGGCAGCCUUGAGUACAGUUGAGGUAGGCGGAAUUCGUGGUGUAGCGGUGAAAUGCUUAGAUAUCACGAAGAACUCCGAUUGCGAAGGCAGCCUACUAAACUGCCACUGACAUUGAUGCUCGAAAGUGUGGGUAUCAAACAGGAUUAGAUACCCGGGUAGUC